Carassius auratus (goldfish) is the source of this 479-nucleotide long non-coding RNA. RefSeq lists it as uncharacterized. The transcript has 2 exons. The record is from RefSeq and is a predicted model, not a curated record. Lineage: Eukaryota; Metazoa; Chordata; Actinopteri; Cypriniformes; Cyprinidae.
UACAGCAAUGGCGGCUCGUGGAGCCUCUAAAUAGUUCCCGGAAGUAGCAGCAAACCGAUGCCGCGCCGUAGAGAUGCAGCAGAACAAACCGUUUGCGACGCACUUUUAAAAGGUCUAGGGGUGCAUCGUGGAGCAGGGCCCUCCUCUUUUUGACCACAGGACGAUGUACAAAGAUUCUGGGAAUAGCAUCUGGUCUCAGCCCACUCUUGAAUUUUUUGGUCAUGACAAAUUGCUUUGCUUCAAUUUGCCUGCAGAGUGACUUCAGUUUAGUUUCCACGGACAACUUUUUUUUGUCUACCCACAUACAGUACAUAUCACAUGGUGGUUAAAUGCACUGAUAGGUAACACUGAUGACCCCCUGCAAUGUCUCACCCUGAGUCUCAGCUCCCUGGGUUUUGCAAGGCUUUGCUUGUUCCUUAUUUCUAGUAAAUCAUUUUCAAUGUAAAAAAGUGCAAAUAAAUUUAAGUAUAAUUACCUAA